RNAcentral lists this ribosomal RNA (774 nucleotides) under uncultured Neocallimastigales. RNAcentral's name for it is "partial large subunit ribosomal RNA". It matches the Rfam family "Eukaryotic large subunit ribosomal RNA", at positions 26 to 644 of the family's 3401-position model. Lineage: Eukaryota; Fungi; Neocallimastigomycota; Neocallimastigomycetes; Neocallimastigales. The record is from RNAcentral.
CGCAUCUGUGCAUGCAGCAUAUCAAUAAGCGGAGGAAAAGAAACUAACAAGGAUUCCCCUAGUAACGGCGAGUGAAGCGGGAAGAGCUCAAAUUUGAAAUCUUAAAGGGUUUCCCUUUACGAAUUGUAGUUUAAAGAAGUGUUUUCUGUUGAGGUUUUGGUAAAAGUUCUUUGGAAUAGGACAUCAUAGAGGGUGAGAAUCCCGUAUUUGACCUUUACUUUCAACUUUGUGAUACACUUUCAAAGAGUCGGAUUGUUUGGGAAUGCAGUCCAAAAUGGGUGGUAAAUUUCAUCUAAAGCUAAAUAUUGGCGAGAGACCGAUAGCGAACAAGUACCGUGAGGGAAAGAUGAAAAGAACUUUGAAAAGAGAGUUAAACAGUACGUGAAAUUGUCAAAAGGGAAGCGUUUGACACCAGUGUUGUUUUUCUGAAAAUCAAUUAAAGAACUGUUUAUGCUAAGCUGUUUAGACUUUAUCAGCUAUCUGUUUAGUUUUGAGCUUUUCUUUAAUGCACUUUUCAGUUAACAAGUCAACAUCAAUUUCUUUUGCUGUAAAAAAGCUUGAGGAAGGAGGCUUGAGAUUCGUCUUAAGUGUUUAUAGCCUCUUGCCUAUGCAGUCGGAGAGAUUGAGGUCUGCAGCGUAGAUCCUUCGGGGCUAAAUGCAUUUGUGCUAAGUUAUAGCAUUUUAUAGACAACUUGUUGACUAUGAUUUGUCUUGUAGCUUACUCGCUUAUGUUAUUUUACCUACGCUUAGGAUGUUGAAUCUGUGCGAGACUAC